CACGUGUCACUCACUAUCUCUCUCCACUGCCAACAAACUUUCGCGUUUCUCCCCACUCAAGAUGGCACUCAAUUAUCUCUCUCCAUUCUGUACAAAAUCUCAAACCCACUCUCUCAGAUUCCUACCACACACUCACGCACCUACCUCACUCCAUCCCUCACCCUUUCCUCAUUCUCUCUUCUCCCUCUGCGAAAAAGCUUCACCUUCAUUCUCCUUCAAGACAAAAUCGCUCACCACGCUUCCAUAACCCUCAAAACCCACUCUCCGCCGUUUCACCGCCACCACCAUUCAUCCUCCAACCUCCGCCACCCAACCACCAACAACUUCGACCUCCAUCUCCACCAUCAAUCGCCUCCAAACCCAUCUGAUUGUUACUCCGCCCUACAACUCAGCUACCGCCACGAUCCACACCUCCGAGUCACCUUCAAAACAAUCACCGCCUUCCAACCAUCAACAAACUCGCCGCUUCAUCUUCGACCUCCUCAAACCCUUCACAACGCCCUAACCUCUACACAAACCAUUCCGCCGUCACAAUCCACAAAACCCUCGCCGUUUUUCUACCAACCCUAAACCCCCAUCUUUAUCCUCUUCAAACUCAACCGCUCAAACCUUCGCGAUUUCCAAGCGAUACCACCUCCAUCGUCAGAGAAAUCUGGAGUCAAGACUACUGAAGUGGUGCUUGAAAUCGGUAUUGGUAGCGGUAAUUUGACCAAGAAGCUUUUGGAUGCCAAAGUCGAUCUAAAAGAUUAGCAGGGAGUUUUGAGCAAGCCGCUAACAAUCAACAACAACAUAAUCUGCUGUUCGGAUGUAAACAAGGGUAUUCUUUAGUUCCGCUUUCAAACCGAUCCAUUUUUGGUUCAAAUUCCGUCACACCUCAAAAGCAGCGGUUGGUUGUCGUCAUCUAUGUUGGUAAUAAUCUGAACUCAUCAAAGUUUUGCCUGUUUACAUCAUUCUGUAUUUUUCAGUUAAACCAAUGAUGCAUUGUGUAUAGUGAUUGCUGGCUGCUGUUAUGACUCGUAGUUUGAAGGUUUUUAUUGACAAGCUUAUUCCAAAUUUUUGGGUUAAUUAGUUUCUGUUCAAGUUAAAUAGAAAAACAGGAAAUAUUAAUCCCAACUUUACGAUUAUAUUAUGGAUGUUGUAGUUAAGCUGUCAAUCAAUGGUUCACGAUUUUAUGUUUAUGAUUGCCGAAUUUAUUGUUCAAAUCUGGGUUGAAUUGUGUUGUUGUGGUUGGUUAUGCUGUGAAUGAGUUCUGCAAGAAAAGAAUGAUUUGCUGUUUAAUUCUUUCUUUAAUUUCAUGGCCUUUUAAAUUCGGCCAAGUGAUGAUGUUAGCAGGAUGUAAUAUUUCGGUUGUGUUUAGAUGGAUUUAGGUUGCUUUACUAUGAACAUUUCAUUCUGAUUUUCACUUCAGCAACAUUGAGCGGUUGUAAGAUCUUCUUUAAAGCUGAUAGUAUAAUGCAAUUUGCAAAGUAUGUAAAUAAUCUGUUUGAUUCUCAAUUGGAUUUUAUUUCCGGAUUCGGCGAUUCUAUGUCGACAUGCCGC
This 1539-nucleotide long non-coding RNA is filed under the name Lathyrus oleraceus (garden pea). RNAcentral's name for it is "Pisum sativum (pea) long non-coding RNA (PSAT_LNC031657)". The record is from RNAcentral. Lineage: Eukaryota; Viridiplantae; Streptophyta; Magnoliopsida; Fabales; Fabaceae.